UUUGACCUCAAAUCAGACAGGAUUACCCGCUGAACUUAAGCAUAUCAAUAAGCGGAGGAAAAGAAACCAACAGGGAUGGCUCUAGUAACGGCGAGUGAAGCAGCCAAAGCUCAAAUUUGAAAGCUCCUAACAAGGCGCAUUGUAAUUUGAAGAUGGUAUUCCGAGUUAGUCCUUUACCUCAGUUCCUUGGAACAGGACGCCAUAGAGGGUGAGAGCCCCGUGUGGUAUUGGUAGCUUUCUCAUGUGGUUUACCUUCGAAGAGUCGAGUUGUUUGGGAAUGCAGCUCUAAGUGGGUGGUAAAUUCCAUCUAAAGCUAAAUAUUGGCGAGAGACCGAUAGCGAACAAGUACUGUGAAGGAAAGAUGAAAAGAACUUUGAAAAGAGAGUGAAAAAGUACGUGAAAUUGUUGAAAGGGAAGGGAAUUGGACUAGACUUGGAUUUCUGUUAUCAGCAGUCUUUCGGGGCUGUGCACUAGCAGUUUUCUAGGCCAGGAUCUGGUUUGGAGGCCAGGAUAAAACCCAAAGAAUGUG
Molecule: ribosomal RNA, 529 nt
Filed under: [Candida] sp. VITLN03
Lineage: Eukaryota; Fungi; Ascomycota; Saccharomycetes; Saccharomycetales
Description: eukaryotic LSU rRNA
Rfam family: Eukaryotic large subunit ribosomal RNA
Source: RNAcentral